UAUUUGUGAGGCUCUAUUGAGCAUUCUUCUUUCUUAAAUAGUUGAAUAAUUCUUUAAAUCAUAUUCUGGUUUUGUCAGCUCACAAUUGCUGUAUCACAUGAAUUAGCCCAUCUAUGGCUUGGCAAUCUGGUAACAAUGGAAUGGUGGAGUCAUUUAUGGCUUAAUGAGGGAUUUGCAACAUGGGUAAAAUUGAGUCAUCUCACAUAACUGCUUCCACUUGCUGGCUAUUGCAAUACAUUCAUUUUCUUGUUUGAAUCUGUAUUUGAUCUUAAAUUUCCAGGUAAGUUAUAUGGCCACUGACAGGCAACAGCAUGUUUCCUUAGUGGAAUAUAUGGACUCUAUUUCUUCUAAAAACAAAUGAUGGCUUGCGUAUGGAUGCACUGGAACAAUUGCAUCCUAUUGAGGUCGAGGAACCCAGGGCUUGUUCAAUAGGGGAAUUAUUUGAUUCUAUCAGCUACAAAAAGGGAUCUUCAGUCACUCGAAUGUUGCAGGGUUAUCUUGGUAUGGCACAUUUCAGGAGGGAUGGUUCAUGUUCUUGACUUAUAGUUGGGUUAUUUUUAUAUGGAGCACCAAAUAUUGAUUCUGUUUUUUUAUGGUAAAACCUUCUCAUUUCUUGGAAAAUAUAUACCAAACUAAUGCUUGGCAUUUCUUAGUUAAUGUCAUUUGUUUUAUAAAGCUUUAAUGGCUCUCUUAUCCAUUAAUCAGGUUUGGCACUUUAUAAUUGUCAAGGCUAUUAUGUAAUUCAUGUUUAUUUCUUAUCAUAUAUGUUAACAAUGCCAUUAUAGUCUUCAAUUAUUCAAUGGACUAAGAAUAUAUAUUGAUACCACAUGGGCUCAAAAAUUUAGAGUGGAUUGGGGUUUGACUCAGUGUGUAGGAUGCUUUUGCCAUGUAACACCUUCUAGGUAUUUUCUUGGGCAGAGACUCUUGCUCCAGUGUCUUUUCUUCUUUUAGAAUCCAUAUAUAUGUGCCGUGUCACUUAUAUUUGUCAAAUUGGAAGCUUUCUUUGAUCACUUAUUCCACUAAUAAUCGUGGUCACUAAUGUGUACAAUGUAUAAUUUCUCAAUGCAGUAGACCUUGAGGCCGUUUGGAUUCAGCGUUUUCCGCUGAAUCCAAGCUGCGUUUUCUGAAUUUUUUUUUUUUUUUUUUUUUUACUUUAGCCGCAUAUUUUGACUAAAUCAACUGUGAACAGUGCAUUCGUGCACUGUUCACGGACCCACAAAUUCCACUUUUCAGUAACUUUUUCAUUAAAAAUGGGUCCCACGAUACUAUUCACAUAUUUAAAAAUUAUUUUGCUACAGUGUUUUCAGUUUCAGUUUUCAGUUUCAGCAAAAAUAAGCUCAAUCCAAACGGACCCCUUAAUAUCACUUUUUCAUGGAAAAUAUUCUUGGUAACAAAAAUGCUACCAUGAACAUUUUUCUUUUGUCAACAUGUUCUGCACACAAAUUUAUGAAACUGACUGAAGGGAAAGGUCUGAAUUAUAUUCCUGUAGUAAUUUGCACUUCUUGAACGUGAUUAAAAUUCGCUGUGUAACAAGUGGAUAGAAAAUUAACUUUGACUAAAUUACAUAUAUAACUCUGUGACUUCUUAUUUGAACCAGAAAUCCUUAAGUUAGCACAUAAAAAGAUAUGCUGGAAAGAAUUCAAGGACAGAUGAUUUAUGGGGCGUUCUUUCAGAGAACUAUGGUGAACUCAAUUCAAUGAUGGAUGCUUGGUAAAAAAAAAAAAAAAAAGGGAUUUCCAGUUAUCUCUGUAAAAUCCAAAGAUAAUAUUUUGGAAUUUGAACAGGUAUUAUUAUUAAGUAAUAAGCAAACAUGCAUUUCUUAAAGGUUUAGAGGUCAAGUUGUUUAUCUUUAUCAAGAUAGUAUUAUCGUGCUAUUCAUGAUAAGUUCAGAAGGCCAUGAGGUAGCAUGGAGAUGGUUGAAGGUAUGCAGCUCCUGCUCAACAUCUAAUUGGUAGCAUGUCUAAUUAUGUAUAUAGUCUGGAAAAUAUUAUGAUUGGGAGUUGAGAAGCAACUAUUUACUUUAAAUUUAUAAUUGUAUAUAUGGUUGGAAAAUAUAUGAAUACCUAUCUCUCCAAAUUAAUAUCUUCAUAUUUAUAAUGUUUUGCGGCCUUCUCGGCAUUAUGUUCAAAUUACUGUCAUAUAUGUACUAGGGUUAGUUAUAUAGUGAAGUAGGCUUCUUCAUAAACUUGAAUAUCUUUUUUUUUUUUUCCUUUGUGCGGAAAAUCGAGUUGGGAAUCAAUAGCUGGAGAGACUCAUUUAAAUGCACUGUUGAGAAUGAUAGAAAUACUUAUCUCCGGUCCAUGGACACUAGAAAGGUAAAAGUUUUGCCUGUACUUUUAAAUCACUUCCUUAUCAGUAGGGGCAUUUUCGAGUUCUAUAUUCAACUGUGGUAUAUGCUCUGCAGGCUGCUUUCAUUGUUGUAAUGUUAAAUGCUAGUACGACAAAUAGGAAUGGAUUUGAGUCCUUAUUGAAGCUCAAUAGAGAAGCAGAUAUUGUUAAGAUUUAGUAACAUUGGAAAUAGUAUCCUGUCACUUUUUGGGUGAAAGCUACUUAAAUUUAAUGUCAUUCUUUCAUCCUUGUAAAGGUUUUCUUGCAUCUUGUCCAAACCCAAAUAUAUUGCUCGUGGUUUUAAAUUUUAUGUUGUUUGAUGAGGUAUUGGUUGUGCCAAUUAAAUCACGGUUUUUAACGGCCUCAUCUUUCUUGCGGAUCUAAAUGUUAUUCAUAUAAAUAUCCUUUCAGGUUCGAGAUCAAUAUAUUAUUUACGUGCUUUUCUUGACAAGUUGAGAAGGCCGUGAGGUAGCAUGGAGAUGCUUGAAGUUCUGCAGUAAUGAAAAGGCCGAUGAGAUAGAAGCAUUUUUUUGCCAGCCGUAUGCAUCCUUCAUUUACCAUGAGUUUGAAGCAAAGUACCGAGCAAAUCCGACUCAAAGCGAGGUGGGUUGACAACAAAAGGUGAGAGCAAUCUCUAUACGACCUAGUCAAACAAUUAGCUCUCAAGAAAUGCUAGUCUUCACUUUGCUUCCAAAACUAUAUUGUGAAUGUAAUUAUGUUAAGAAUAAUAAACAACAUACAUUGCAUGCUCAGCAACUUGUGUUAUUUAUGUAAGGAGUUACAUAUGAAGAAAUCAAACCAUGAACAGGUUGCUACCUA
Molecule: long non-coding RNA, 3147 nt
Organism: Quercus robur (English oak)
Lineage: Eukaryota; Viridiplantae; Streptophyta; Magnoliopsida; Fagales; Fagaceae
Exons: 3
Source: RefSeq, a predicted model, not a curated record